RNA transcript from Hypanus sabinus (Atlantic stingray), 3332 nucleotides. It is a transcript of the gene named protein SOGA3, with no coding region annotated. The transcript has 9 exons. NCBI's taxonomy places the organism in Eukaryota, Metazoa, Chordata, Chondrichthyes, Myliobatiformes, Dasyatidae. The record is from RefSeq and is a predicted model, not a curated record.
UCCAAUAAAGACCAUGGCCUAUUCACAGUUUCCUGAUGUAUUGACAAAUUUAAAUACAAGUACAGUUGCUUUAAUAAAUGAAAGUCAUUCGUAAUACAACAGACGAUGCAGAAACUGGGUUCCCACCUUGUUCCGAUCCUGUGAAGCACGAAGUUGGAUUCAAAUUGCCUAAUGAUCGUCUUCGAACGAUUCUCUGCAUAUUAAAACAGGUUGCUGGAAAGAUCAAUGGUAGUGAUCACCACCCGACUAACUGCGUUGCUACAGCUUGCAAAUAAUACUUCUACACUUGGCGUAGUAAACUCUGUUAUUAUUUCUAUAAUUGCAUAGAUUUUUCUGUUCUAACUUGAAAUUUCCCGCAGCACAAGAAGUGGUAUGCAUGGAGCUGCCUGAGCAUUGCACAUAGAUGUCAGUAACACCAUGAACCCAACCAGCGGCGCUGCUGAAAACCGACAGCACUCUCACAACAGAAAACAGCAACGAGCCUCCUCGCCGGCCAGAUUCCGGGAUAUUAACUCCAGACCUUCCAUCAAGACAUCGCUGGCUGGCAAAGCCAAUGCACUGAAACCGGGUUACCACCCCGGCCGGAUCGCCAGCCAAGCUGCCGCAGCCGCGAAAGACAAGCCGAACAGACCCGCGGCAACUGUCCGCCCCUUCGGUGCUGAAAGGGUGGUCGCGGCUACGCCCCAUGACGGCGCCGGAGAGGAGGGAGAUCAGAGCACGGUGGCGAACCCUGCCAAGAGCGGCCGCGCACCGGCUGUCGCCGAGACGGCAGCAAUAGCGGCGCCGCCGCCACCGCAGCCGGUGGGCGGGGGCGGGGAGCCGGCGGGAGCGGCGCCGCCCAGCGUGGCCAAGGCGCUGUCCAGCGCUGCCGCGAUGCACACCAAAGGUGCCGCCGAGCUGGAUGAGCGGCCGGCCGGAGACGCCAACAUGGAGGCGAUGACGGAGCAAGAAGAAAGCCUGCAGAAUGAGAUCGAGAAACUGCGCUCGGAAAACCUGGGCCUUAAGAACGAAAUCGAGGAGAUGCGAACCGAGAUGGACGAGAUGAGGGACAGUUUCUAUGAGGAGGACGCCUGCCAACUGCAGGACCUCCGGCGGGAGCUGGAGCGGGCCAACAAGAACUGCCGGAUCCUGCAGUACCGCCUGCGUAAGACCGAGAGGAAAAGGAUGAGGUUCGCUCAGACCGGCGAGAUGGACAACGAGCUCCUGAGAAGUCUGGAACAAGACCUUAAGGUUGCCAAAGAUGUAUCUGUCCGCCUGCACCACGAAUUGGAAAACGUUGAGGAAAAACGCACCAAAACUGAGGAGGAAAAUGAAGCCUUGCGUCAGCAGUUAAUAGAGGCUGAAAUUACCAAGCAAGCUUUACAGAAUGAGCUGGACAAAAUAAAAGAGUCUUCAUUAAAGCGACGUGGAAGUAAAGAUCUGCAAAAAUCUGAAAAGAAGUCCCAACAAUCUCAAGAGGAGGACAAUGAUGAUAUAAAAUGCCAACUACAGUUCAUCAAAGAAGAAGCAAUAUUAAUGCGUAAGAAAAUGGCAAAAAUUGAUAAAGAGAAAGACAGACUGGAGCGUGAAUUGCAAAAGUACAGGUCUUUUUAUGGGGAUCUGGAUAGCCCUUUGCCGAAAGGUGAAGCAGGGGGACCUCCUACAACCAGAGAAGCUGAACUCAAACUACGCCUCCGGCUGGUAGAAGAAGAAGCUAAUAUCCUGGGGAGAAAAAUAGUUGAACUUGAGGUUGAAAAUAGAGGGUUAAAGGCUGAGUUGGAUGACGUGAGGGCCCACUAUGAAAAAGGAGGGAUAGGUGGUGAAGAUUACAUGGGUGUUGGUGCUUCCGCUUUCCGGGAUCAAAGCGAAGCUGUGUCUGAGCUGAGGCAGAACUUGCAACUGGUCGAGGAUGAAGCCGAAUUACUGAGGCGCAAUCUGGCUGACUUAGAAGACCAAAAUAAGCGCCUUUCAGCUGAAGUCAAUAAAUACAAGUACAAAACAGGAAGUGCGCAAGAUGCCUCCAGGAAUAGCGAGAACUCCAAAGUCACGGAAGUGCUACAAGAAGAGCUAAAGGCAGCGAGGAUGCAAAUCAAUGAACUCAGUGGCAAAGUCAUGCAGCUGCAGUAUGAAAAUCGGGUACUGAUGUCUAAUAUGCAACGCUAUGACCUGGCGUCCCAUUUGGGUAUCCGCGCAAGUCCCAGAGACAGUGAUGCGGAGAGCGAUGCAGGGAAAAAAGAGAGUGAUGAUGAUUCCCGGCCGCCCCACCGUAAAAGGGAAGGGCCCAUAGGUGGGGAAAGUGACUCGGAAGAAGUCCGCAACAUCAGGUGUUUACAGACGCCACCGAGGUCUUUAUUUUCCACAGACGGCAGAUUGCUUCAAAAAAAUCUCAAAGACCGACAACAGAUGUCAGACAUACGGCUGGAAGCAGAGCGCCUGAGCAGAACUAUAGAUCGGUUGAUCACUGACACGAGCACAAUAAUAACCGAGGCAAGAAUUUAUGUGGCAAAUGGUGAUCUGUUCGGCAGAAUCGAGGAUGAAGAUGAAAGCAGCAGGAUCAGAGAGCACGAACUUCUCUACAGAAUCAACGCUCAGAUGAAAGCAUUUAGGAAGGAGCUGCAGACUUUCAUAGACAGACUAGAGGUACCAAAAACAACAGACGAGAAAAAUACAGAGGAACCUUUGUCUGUUAGUCAGAAUCCCCAUCUACUUCAACAUACUACCUUUUUAGUUUAUUCAUUUAUUUUAAUACCUCAUCAAGAAAUCGGCAAAUACAAAAUAACACACUUAGCAGUCAAGACAUUACAGAAUCCAAUAUGCAAAUCGUUGUUUAAUACUGGAGACUACCAAUUUUCAACGCGGAUUUUUACAUGAAGCCAUUAGAUUUCCCUGUUUGCGGAAUGUGUUACAGACCAACCCGGAUGAAUCUUUUAUGAUUGUCUGCAACUUCAGGAUCACCAGAUGACAGUAGAACUCCUGAAUUUGCAUCCAGUCGUUGUUCAGCAAAGUGAAGACGUUCCGUUGCUUCAUCAUUUUUUAUGGAAAAUCUCCUCCAAAUAACUACAAGGUCCUAAGAAGGUCCUGUGCAGAGAAGAAUUUUACUCCCCUGCAUUUCCUGGCCCACUUGGCUGUUUCCCGGCAAUACAACUAUGUUCAGAAAAGAGCAAGGCUCGACAUAACCACAAAGAGGAAGGCAGGCUGAUGAAAACAGAAGAAUUUUGCUAGAUCUCAAGUCCAUUUUGCAAGGUGUUCAGGCUAACAUUAACAAGGAGGAAGAUCAAAAGGCAAAGCUACACCAUCAGUGUUCUAAAGAUAAACAUGCCUGGGAAUUGGAACGAAAAAAGCUAAAUUGUAUU